UUUUAAUGACGGUGUUUAAUAACCGUAAUCGAAUAGAAAGAAUCAUUUUUAAUACAUUUCAUGACCGUUUUAUAAUAACCGUCGUUAUAUGUUAUUUGCCUUAAAAAAUUUUUAAAAAAAAGCCGAUAAAAGGAAUAAAGGAAACGCGCAAUCCCUAACCACUCACAUUCGUUGUCUUCUUCUUCAAUUUUCACGAAUUACAAUCACAACGACUCACUCAGUCACACACACCAGCCCUAACCCCACCUAAGCUAUCAAACGCCAAUGCCGCUGCCGCUGUCAAAUCGAUUCAAGUGCUCCGGCGCUGAGUCUAGCCGUCCUUGAGCCGAUUUGCUUCCUUUUUCUGCCGCCGCUGUCAAUCUCUGCCAUUUUUGAGCCGAUUCACUUCCGCAAAACAGCUGCUGUCAUCUCUGCCGACAUUGCCUCUGUGUUCGUUCACCGUCAGAUGCAGUGUUAUUGUGGUGACACUGCCUCCGCUAUCAAGUCAGUUCAAAUUUUCUGGGUGCUAUCUCGAAAAUGUUUGUGAGAUUGUUGCCAAUGAUAUUCUAAAAUUUUGAAUUCAGGGUUAUUGUUUCACCACUGUGAGUUGCUUUCUCCAAUUUUGCAAUUCUUUCCUCUUAAUUUGCUUUGAAAUAUUUGCUCGUUGGAUUUAUUUCCUCUUCAUUUAUUUCGAUUUGGUGAUUUUGUGUUGUGUAGCUUGUACCUUAGUCUCUCCUUUUCCUUUCAUAAUAUUAUAAAAUAUGUCGUGCACUUUGGCCUUUCGUUUCUUGAUUUUCUUGGUUAAUGAAUUUGGAAAAAGAGUGAAUUAUGGGUAAGGGGAUAGAAAAUCACAUUGACAGAAAAGAGGACUGAAACGCCCUGAUUUUUACUAAGUGGAGUUUACUUAUUUGUUAAAAAAAUAAAUUUUAAAUUAUUAAUGAUUUAAUUGUCUUAUGCUUAUUAUAUUGUUCGUAAAAUUUUUGUUACAAGUCCAGCCCAUGAACCUCUUUAUGUUUUAGCAUUUCUUUAUUUAUUUACGAAACGAAAACCAGCGUUCGAAUUCAAAAGUAACAAAACAGAAAAAGGAAGAAAGGAAACAAGAGGAUAACAGGACGUGAGAGAGGAGAAGAGGGAGAAAGAAGAGAAAGACAAGAGAGGCUAGGUGAAGGAUUUGGAUUUAAAGAGAGAGAAUUCAAUUUCAGAGCAAAAUAUUAAAUAUCUGGCUUUUUAAAUUUGUAAGCCUUAUUCAAUUUCAGAGCAAAAUAUUAAAUAUCUGGCUUUUUAAAUUUGUAAGCCUUCUUUCUCAGUUCACUUUAUUCUUUUAUUUUUCUUCAAAAUUCUUGUUUAAAUUGGCAUGCUUGUUGAUGUUGUUAAGUCAUUUCUAAAUUAACUUGCAUGCAUGAUUAAAAUUCUGUUUAUUUAGGUAUUAUGUCAUUGAAAUUAGUCUCAUUUGCCAUGCUUGUUUCAAGUUCCGAUUCUUAUUUGAAAAAAAAAAAAUUUCUAUGUUCGUUCCAUAAUCUGUUUUGGGUAUUAAAGUUGAUACUACCUAGCAAAUUCUAAACUGUAAUGGCUGAUUUCUUCUCUUAUUUUUGUUUAAUCUAUUCAAAUUCAUGUAUAAAUUUACAGGUGUCAGAUAUUUGCCUAAUUAUCAUGUAUGUGUUAAAUUCAUUUUGGGUGAAUUUUUAUACUAUUUAAUCAACUUCAAAGUUACAUGGGUUUGGCCAAUUAUCACAUAAUCUCUUCUUUGACUAUUUGAUUAGAUUUUUGUUCAUGCGUGGCUUAAUUAAUUUCGAAAUCUUCUUACUUGUGAGUGUGGUCAAACCCCAAACAAAUGAAGAAGUCUUCUGGUUUUAUGUCUUAAAUAGAGUGCCUGUAAAUAUAAAAUCGAGAUUGAGCUAAUGAGUGAAAAUGAUGGUACUUGGAUUUUUUGAGGCUCUGUUUUUUUUUCUUUACUUUAAAAGCUAAUUUGUUUAGCUUUACCUUUGAUUUGAAUUUUUUGCUUCUGUUCUUUGCAGCCAACCUAUGAAAAUGGUGAUAAUUGGGCUCCAAUAAAUAUUGAUUUAAUAGGAACCACAUUGGUAAGCCUAGUUGCAAGACAAGAACUACUUUGCAAAGCAUGCUAUGUGUAUAAUUCUGAGCAUUAAGGAUUCAGUUUCUGAACGGCAAGCUUGCUGGCUGGGUAUAAAUGUUCCAAGUGCCAAUCCCACCUUAUGUAAGCACAAAAUAUAGUCUCCAUUUCCUUUUUGGAUUAUAUUUGUUUGUAUAGUUAUAUGAUACUGGAUUUUAAUUUAAGAAUUUGUGCAGUACAUUUUUUUACUGUUAGGAGUUAGUUUGAUCAAGGUUAUUUAAGUACUAAACUGUUACAAUUGAGCUUGUAUGCAUUUAAGUUCUUUAUAUGUAAAUGACAAUUAUAUCAAUGUGUAAUGUAAAUUGAAAUUUGCCAAUGUGGCUUCAAUUGUACAGUUUAGAAUGUGAAAAUAACUAUCUAAAUUUUAAUUUAAAAAAACAAUUGAAGUAUAGUAAUUUUAAAUUGUUAUUUUUUUUUUAUUUUUACUCGUGCAAAAGAUGACGGUUCUUAUAUAAGAACAGUCAUCAAAGAGCGAUAUAAGAUGACUGUUAUGAUACAAAACCGUCACUAAAAAUUAAUAUUUAAUGACGGUUAUUAAAAAUCCGUCAUUAAAAGUAUAUAUUUAAUGACGGUUAUUGGCAAAAAACGGUCAUUAAAACUUAUGUACCUAUAGCAUAUAAUGACGGUUUAUUAGAAUAACCGUCAUAAUAAGUAUACAUUUAAUGACGGUUUUUAAACCGUCAUAAAAAGUGUACCCCUUUUAAUGUCGCUGCCUAAGAUGACGGUUUUAAAACCGUCAUCUUAUGUCUUUUAAAACCGUCAUUAAAGGCCAAUUUUGUAGUAGUGGAGAUUAUCUUAUUACAAAACACAUGUUGUUUUUGAUCAAGUAUCUAGAUUAGUUCGAUUUCAUAAGUCAAAUCCACUGUCAUUUAGACUAGUUCUGUAUCUAAAACAUAAAAAGGAUCAAGAAUAUACUUCUGUAGAAUCAAGACUUAAAAAACAUCAUGGACUCAUGAUAACUCUAGAGGUAAAGCCAAACGGUAAGCAACUAGACUAACAUAUUGAAUAAUCUCAGAUGGGCCUUUAUAACGAGGGCUUAACUUCCUAUGUUUUCCAAAUUGAAGAAUGCCUUUCUAAAGGGAAAUCCGUAGGAAAACUAUAUCAUCUACUGCAAACUCAAGUGGCCUUUAAUGCUUAUCUGCAUAUCCCUUUCUGUCCAUCCUACGCUAACUUUAACUUCGUAUGUUUUCCAAAUUGAAGAAUGCCUUUCUAAAGGGAAAUCCGUAGGAAAACUAUAUCACCUAUUGCAAACUCAAGUGGCCUCUAAUGCUUAUUUGCAUAACCCUUUCUGUCUAUCUUACCCUAACUUUGACUUUUCUCUGAUGACAUUAAUCUUCUGAUUAGUACUUUGGAUGAUUUCUGGUUUCUGGACUUAACAAUUGCCUUUCCUUGACUUCAUCCCAACAAAUAGAAGUCCUGCAUUUCCUUCCAUAUAGAGCCUCAAAUGGUGCCAUUUAAAUACUAUACUAAUAAUAAUUAUUAUUAUAAGUAACUUCCAUCAAAGGCAAGUAUAUAUCUUAAUUGCCUCGAAACUGCAUGAGGCAUGCUCGAAGCAUAUCUUUUAAAAUUUGAAAAAACCCUCUUUGAUUGCCUAUUUGUUUACAGAUGAUAAGCUAUACGAUAAUAUAAUCUAGUACCUAUAAACUACUAUAAACAAGGCCAAACCCUAGAAGUAAACAGUACAUCUUUAUCUGAAAUAAAAGGUAUAGGAGCUCCAUACAAAUUUACUAUUUCCUUUAUAUAAAAGUUUGCAAUCAUACCAUAAGAGUACAUGCUCUUAUAAGGCAAAAAGUGAGCAAACUUUGUGAGGCAAUUAACAAUAACCCACACAUUAUUAUAACCACUAUUAGUAUGAGGAAGUCCUAUUACAAAGUCCAUUGUGAUGUGUGUUGGUGUAUAAAUACUAAUGCUAUUGGUGUCAAUGUGCAAGUGUACACAACAAGUAAUAAAAUUAUGAGUAUUUAAGAUCGUCUCCACAGAGAUUGAUGUUAUCAGAUUUGCUACAACAAUCUUAACAGUGCAGAUUUUGUGUCUAAAUUAAGAUAAACAACUGAUGAAACUAAUUUACUAAUUAAAAUAAAAAUAAAAUAAAUAAAAUGCAACAAAGUAGAUUAUCACGUCAAACUCAAGGAUAAAACUAAUGAGAAUAUAUAGUAGUUGAGUGAGUAAACUCUCUUAAUGAUUUUGACUAUUUUCUAAUGGUUGGCUCGGUUACUGCAGUAUCUGCUAUAGCACUGGGCAGAAUCCUUAUGUAUCCUCAGCCAUCGCAUGUUGGAUAUCUUAUAUCUAUAUGCAACCUAACAGUGAUCAAUUGUUAUGCCAACAUAAGAUAUAGCAUUACACGCUUAGGUUCCAUUUACCCUACAAGGUGAGUUCCUAUGUCUAGUUCAUCACUAAUCUUAAAUCAAACAUGGCCCUUUUGGGACUCAAGUAAAACUCAAUCCGGGAAACCCAAUUUAAGAUCAAGUAUUGCUUUGAUAUGUUUCACUAAGAUAGGCCCUUUUGCGGCUCUCUCCUAACUUGUAUCAUUAAAUGGGUGAUCAACCGAAAUAAUGAAUAAAAUAAAUACUAUCAAAAUAAAUUGCUACAGCAAACAUACAGCAACACAUAUAUUCAGUCAAUAAACUAUCAAGAUUGUUUAUCACUCAACCACAAAUAAAUUUAGUUCAUGGUUUGCAAAAGAAAAAUAAAGAACAAAGUUCCAGCCAUGAAACAUAUCCCCAUAAAUAAAUAAAUAGAAAACGAGAAAGCAAGAGAAGAAUAAGAAUGAUUGAGCUCCCAAUUGAUUUCUGCAAAUUCUCCUCUUGUGCAGCCCUUAAUCUCUCUCUUGAAUCUUGUUUUUCUUUUGUUUCUUUUUGUUUUUCUCCUUGGGUGACGGCUCUCCUCCAUUCCUUAUGAUGUGUGCUUCUUUUAUAGUUGAAAAUUAGGGUAAACGAAAGCCUAAGUCGCGCAUAAGUCAUAUUAGGAAACUGCAGAUCGCAAUUCUGCAGUUAUCCCGCAUAGAAUUUUCUCUGUCGUUGUUCCAGGAUUGCUACAGCAACGGCUACAGCAAUGGUUGCUAUAGCAAUAUCUAUAGCAACUACACUGUUCCAGAUUUGUUUCAACUCUUUUGUAGCCAUGUUCUUUUCUUAUUUUUUGCAAGUCUAUUGCAUAACAUUCCUUCCAUGAAUUAUAAGCUUCUGGAAACCUACAAUUAUGCACACAAUUUAAGCACAAAUUACUUUAAAUCGAGCAAAACUUAUUAAGAUUGACUAAAAUAAUUAUUUAUGCAAAAUGUAACAAAAAUACAAUAGAAACACAUAAUUUACUCUCUAAAUAGUAUUGAUUUAAAUCUAAAAGUGCCAUGAUAACUCUCAUUUCAUAGAGUUAUCAAUGUGCUCCCAUUUCCACUCAAGAAUAGACAGUGGUUGAUGUUCUCCUAUAGGUUUCUAAUGUUUUACGUUAACUUGCUGACAAGUUAAACAAUGUGCUAUAAACUACACUAUUUCUCUCUUCAUCCCCUCCCACCAAUAAUGGUCCCUCAAAAUGCGAUACAUCUUCUUCCUACCUUUAUGCAUAGUAUAUGCCGAACUAUUUGCUACUUCUAAAAUCUGGUUCUUCAAAUUUGAAUUAUUCGGCAAACAAAGUCUACUGCCCAUAACUAAAGUUAUAUUAUCUCUCAGUGAAAAGUUAGUAUGCAGUACAUUAUUCACAUAUUCUUUUUUUUAAUCAAUUUCGAAUCUUGAUCCUGCAUCUCUUGAAUCUGAUCAAUCAAAACAGGCCUCGCCUGAAAAUGUGCCAAAAGUGCUCCAUUAUGAUCCACUGCCACUUCUAUAUCUAAAGACUUCAAAUCAAUCAACAACAAAAGGUAUGACACUUUCAAGUGGGAUAUCAAACUCAAAGACUUCCUACGGAGAGCAUUAGCUACCAUUUUACCUUGCUUGGAUAGUAAUCAAUGACACAAUCGUAAUUUGCAAUCAACUCAACCCAUUUAUGUUGUCUCAAAUUUAAUUUCUUAUGUAUGUAUAAGUGUUUCAGGCUUUUUUGGUUUGUAUAAAUCUCACAAACAUCUUCAUAUAAAUAAUAUCUCUAAGUCUUUAAAGUAAACACCACUACUAUGAGCUCUAAAUCAUGUGUUGGAUAAUUCAAUUAGUUUUGCAUAAGCUAUUGGGAAGCAUAAGCAAUUACCUUUCCAUGCUGCAUCAAUACAUAACUCAAUCUCUAUCUUAAUGCACCAAUGUAAACUAUGAAUCAUUUUUUACCUUAUAGAAGUGUAAGAAUUAGAGUUGUAGUCAACCUUUUCUUAAGUUCUAGGAAAGUCUAUUCACAAUCAUUUGUUCAUUCAAAUUUCACUUUCUUCCUUGUUAAUUUAUUCACAAUCAUCUGUCCAUUCAAACUUCACUAUCUUCCUUGUUAAUUUCAUUAGAGGUAAAGUUAUCUUUGAAAAACCUUCGACAAAUCUGUGAUAAUAACCUGCGAAGCUAAGAAAACCCCUGACCUCUUAUAUAUUAGUCAAUCGCUCCCAAUUACCUACAUCUUUUAUUUUCUAGAGAUCUACAUAAAUACCCUUAAUAGAAAUCACAUGACCUAAGAAUUCAACUCUAUCUAACCAAAAUUGACAUUUAUUGAAUUUAGUAUAAAGCUGCUGAUAACUCUAUAAAAUGAGAGUUAUCAUAGCACUUUUAGACUUAAAUCAAGAUCACUUAAAGAGUAAAUGAUGUGUUUUUAUUGCAUUUUUGUUACAUUUUGCAUAAACAUUCAUUUUAGUUUAGUCUUAAUAAGUUUUGCUUGAUUUAAAGUAAUUCGUACUCAAAUUGUCUUCAUAAUUGUAGGUUUCCAGAAGCUUAUAAUUCAUGGAAGGAAUGCUGAUGCAAUAGGCUGGCAAAAAUAAGGAAAGAAUAUGGCUACAAAAGAAUUGAAACAAAUCUGGAACAGUGCAGUUGCGGUAGCCAUUGCUGUAGCAAUCCUGGAACAACAACAGAGAAAAUUCCGC
Molecule: long non-coding RNA, 7079 nt
Filed under: Citrus maxima (pomelo)
Lineage: Eukaryota; Viridiplantae; Streptophyta; Magnoliopsida; Sapindales; Rutaceae
Description: long non-coding RNA (CMAX_LNC001720)
Source: RNAcentral